CGUACGAACUUCGUACGAUGUAUCUCAGGCUGUUUAGCCGUUUUAUUAAGAUUUUCGUACGAACAAGCAUCUGUUUCUUCGUACAGUAGAUCUACGAAAAUUUCUACGAAAGCUCUUAGGGUGGCGUACGAACUUCGUAAACUAAAAAAUGGCCGCCACAACAACACAAAUAUUCUAUAUUGGCGAUCUUUCAUUUAUUAUGGCGUAUUUUAGUAUUUACAGAAGACGACUCUGUGGAAUCUGCAACCCGGUGAGUAAAUUAACAAAUCGUUACGACGCCGUUUUGACUAAAUUUUCAGGGGACGCAACCUCGCGCCAACUGUCAAAAUGUUUUGAAAAACAAAAUGCUCUUAUUUCGACGCAUUUCAAGAGUUUUGUUGUGAUAAAAUCACUGGAAUAUAGACUGAAAUACUAUCCAACCAUUAGACUCAUGAUCUUGACAUGGAUCCAAGAUGCUGGUAACUAGGCAGGACGGAUUGUUUCACAGAACUGCAGGUUUCUGGAUGGAGACUCAGCGCCAUGUCACAAAUACUUCAGAACCUAGAAUGAAAGUUACUGAAAGAGCAAUAGACUUUCCAAUCUCUACAAAAUUCAUCUUAACUGUUCUUCAAGGUGAUACUUGAGACUACCAAAGACUUUUCAAGGACAGAAUUCACAAAACAGUUUAUGCCACCAUCUCAUAUCAAAGGAUUGUGCUUGAGUUGAACAGCCUUCAAACAGAAACUGUUUCAACACCUUCAAUGGAUUCAUUCUGAUUCAGUUUACUCUUGCUGUGAUCUGAGCAACUAUUUACAUCAGUUCAACAUUGUAAAUUGUUUAAACUUGAAAAUUAUGUCUUCUUACAACUCACAUGAAUCUAUUUACUGUGGACUUUGAUGUUGACUCUAUACAGGAAGAAGAGACCAUCUUUAUACAUGCUGGCAUAUCAUUUAAAAAGGAAACAAAUUUUAUAACCAACAUACUGCACUGUUAUGUCAUCCAAGGACUCAGCUACUGACUCAAUUUAUAAAUACUUCAAAGGAAAAAAUGUCUCUGUCAAUGUAAUUACUGUUGUGCAUAAUAAGACAUUUUUUAUUAUGCCCCCUUCGAAGAAGAGGGGUAUAUUGCUUUGCACAUGUCGGUCGGUCGGUCGGUACCGUCUACCGUCUGUAGACCAAAGCUUGUCCGAGUGAUAACUCAACCAUUCCUGGACGUAUGGUCAUCAAACUUGACAUGAAGGUUGGGCCUGACCAGUAGAUGAUUUUAGGGCUCAUCGGGUCAAAGGUCAAGGUCACAGUGACCUUGAACGGUAAACUAAUUUUAAAGCUUGUCCAAGUGAUAACUUAACAAUGCCUAGACCUAUGGUCAUCAAACUUGAUAUGGAAGUUGGGCCUCAUAAGUAGAUGACCCCUAUUGUUUUUGGGGAUCAUCGAGCCAAAGAUCAAGGUCACAGUGACCUUGAAUGGUAAAAGGUUGUCCAAGUGAUAAAUCAACAAUGCCUGCACCCAUGGCCCUCAAACUUGACUUGGAGGUUGGGCUUUACCAGUAGAUGACCCCUAUUGAUCUUAGGCGUCAAAGGCCAAGGUCACAGUGAUCUUGAAAGCAAACUCGACAAUUCCUGGACCAAUGGUCAUCAAACUUGACAUAAAGGUUGGGCCUGACCAGUCAUCGAGCCAAGGUCAAGGUCACAAUAACCUUUAAUGCAAAAAAAAUAAAAAUCUUCUCCCAGUGAUAUCUCAACAAUGCCUGAACCUAUGAUCAUCAAACUUGACAUGGAAGUUGGGUCUGACAAGGAGAUGACGCUUAUUGAUUUUAGGAGUCAUUGGGUCAAACGUCAAGGUCACAGUGACAUUGAUUGAAAAAAGCUUGUCUGUGUGAUAACUUGUCAAUGCCUGAACCCAUGUCCCUCAAACUUGACAUUUAUAUUUUGUAGACCAGCUGAUGACUCAUAUGGAUUUUGAGGUCAUAGAGUCAAAGGUCAUGGUCAUUACACACUCUAUCCUCACACUUUGAAUGGUCAUAAUCUUAAAACUGCCUCAACGGCAUCCAAUGUCAGGGCCAAAAAAAAAAUACAUUUG
Molecule: long non-coding RNA, 2057 nt
Organism: Mya arenaria
Lineage: Eukaryota; Metazoa; Mollusca; Bivalvia; Myida; Myidae
Exons: 3
Source: RefSeq, a predicted model, not a curated record